Long non-coding RNA from Musca domestica (house fly), 527 nucleotides. RefSeq lists it as uncharacterized. Lineage: Eukaryota; Metazoa; Arthropoda; Insecta; Diptera; Muscidae. The record is from RefSeq and is a predicted model, not a curated record. The transcript is spliced from 2 exons.
UUUUGAAGAAAACUUAAAAAUUUAAAAAAAUGUAUCUACACAAAUUCAAAUGGAACUAACCUCAAAAUCUCUGAGCUUUUAUAUAACUAUCACCUAUAUAAUUUUUGGAAUUGCAUUUUUACUUAUUGUGGAAGCGUUUUUUGGUCUAAGGGCCACAAAUAAGAAGUUGAAUAGCCUCAGAAGUCAUUGCCUGCAGCAUGCUGCUGAAAAUCCAAUCCAAACCAACAAUUCAUUUCGAAUUUUUCCACUGACAUAAAAAUGGACACAAUUUUUCUGGUCAUAAUUCUAGUCAUGAAAUUCAUUGUGAUUUGUCUUAUCAGCUUUGGUAUUUACAAUUGGUAUUGUCGCAGUAAUGAGAACCGAAAUCGGCAGGAAAUUAUUAGAGCUUAAUUUUGGAGCAAAUUUCAAAUUCACGUUUAGAGCUCUGGAAAUAUUUGGAAAAUUUUUAUGAAAAAAAAAAACAAAUUUUAAACACCGAACGUCCUUGAGAGAAAGUUAUUAAAAAAUCUAAAUUUUUAACUCUGAAA